GCUCCCAUAGUGUAGUGGUCACUACGCUUGCCUUGCACGCAGGAGACCCGGGUUCGAUUCCCGGCGGGGUA
RNAcentral lists this transfer RNA (71 nucleotides) under Diaphorina citri (Asian citrus psyllid). It matches the Rfam family "tRNA". From Rfam's summary of the family: Transfer RNA (tRNA) molecules are approximately 80 nucleotides in length. Their secondary structure includes four short double-helical elements and three loops (D, anti-codon, and T loops). Further hydrogen bonds mediate the characteristic L-shaped molecular structure. tRNAs have two regions of fundamental functional importance: the anti-codon, which is responsible for specific mRNA codon recognition, and the 3' end, to which the tRNAs corresponding amino acid is attached (by aminoacyl-tRNA synthetases). tRNAs cope with the degeneracy of the genetic code in two manners: having more than one tRNA (with a specific anti-codon) for a particular amino acid; and 'wobble' base-pairing, i.e. permitting non-standard base-pairing at the 3rd anti-codon position. Lineage: Eukaryota; Metazoa; Arthropoda; Insecta; Hemiptera; Psyllidae. The record is from Rfam by way of RNAcentral.